RNA transcript from Rosa rugosa (rugosa rose), 2022 nucleotides. It is a transcript of the gene named endoplasmic reticulum oxidoreductin-1-like, with no coding region annotated. The record is from RefSeq and is a predicted model, not a curated record. Lineage: Eukaryota; Viridiplantae; Streptophyta; Magnoliopsida; Rosales; Rosaceae. The transcript has 12 exons.
CCGACCACGUUUCAGUUACCCAAUUCAUUUCUUCCGUGUCUCUACCUCUCGCCUCGGUCACUAUGUCUCUUAGUCCUUCGCUACAGCAUUGGCGCGAGGAUUUGGUGGAAUUGGAGAUGGUGAAGGAGAAGAAUGUGAAGAGAUGGGUUUUAGUGGGUGCUGUGAUUGUGGUCUUAUUAGCCAUAGCUCUCACCUCUACCAGAGAUUUUAAUUCUAAACUCAACCUUGCUCUGUUUUUCAAGAAUCCCAGUUCCUGCCAAUGUCCUCAGGAUUCAAAGAAAUACAGUGGCAUUGUUGAGGACUGCUGUUGUGAUUAUGAAACGGUGGACAGUGUUAAUGCAGAAGUGUUGCAUCCUCUGCUACAAGAGAUUGUUAAAACUCCGUUUUUUCGAUAUUUUAAGGCCAAGCUGUGGUGUGACUGUCCCUUCUGGACUGAAGAUGGUAUGUGCCUCCUGCAUGACUGCAGCAUCUGCGAAUGCCCAGAAAAUGAAUUUCCGGAACCUUUCAAGAGGCCCUUUCACCGUGGCCUUCCAUCCGACAGUUUGGUUUGUCAAGAUGAUAAGCUGCAGGGGUCUGUUGACCGCACUCUAGACAGUAGAGCUUUCAGAGGCUGGAUUGAGACAGAUAACCCUUGGACAAAUGAUGACGAGACUGAUAAUGAUGAGAUGACAUAUGUGAACCUUCUACUGAACCCUGAACGUUACACUGGCUAUACUGGUCCAUCAGCAAGAAGGAUAUGGGAUGCUGUUUAUUCUGAAAAUUGCCCAAAAUAUUCAUCUCAGGACAUUUGCCAGGAGCAAAGAGUAUUGUACAAAUUAAUAUCGGGUCUUCACUCGUCAAUUUCAAUCCACAUAGCUGCUGAUUAUCUUCUAGACAAGAUUACCAAUCUGUGGGGUCAAAACAUGGAAUUGAUGUAUGAUCGCGUUUUAAAAUAUCCAGAUCGUGUUCAGAAUUUGUACUUCGCAUUCCUCUUUGUUCUCCGGGCAGUGACAAAAGCUGCAGAUUACUUAGAGCAGGCUGAGUAUGAUACAGGUAAUCACGAGGAAGACCUGAGAACAGAGUCUUUGAUGAGGCAGCUACUUUACAAUCCUAAACUCCAAGCUGCAUGUCCCCUACCGUUUGAUGAAGCAAAGCUCUGGAAAGGUCAGAGCGGACCACAAUUGAAGCAACAAAUUCAAAAGAAAUUCAGAAACAUUAGUGCAUUAAUGGAUUGUGUGGGAUGUGAGAAAUGUCGGCUCUGGGGAAAGCUUCAAGUUCUUGGUCUUGGUACUGCAUUGAAGAUCCUCUUUUCUGUUGAUGGUAAAAAUCAUCAAGAUCAACCUCUGCAGCUGCAACGAAAUGAAGUGAUUGCUCUCGUAAAUCUGCUAAAUCGACUCUCUGAAUCUGUCAAAUAUGCUUGUCAAAGCGGACAUUCAAUCAAGAAAGUAGCGGAAGGAGGACGAGUUGUUGAACCUUAUUCUAUACAAACAAUCAGUACAUUGCAAAGAAUAUGGGAGGCGGUGAUCCCAAUCAGGCUUAGGUUAGGGAUGUUAGCACUGUAACAAUUCUAGAGCAAAUGUAAAGCAUACACUGAGUCACUGACUGGAGUAUGUCUAUGAUCGAUCAUUUAAUAUCAGAUGAAAUCAUGGACCAAGUUUUGAGAAUUACAGAUAAAAAGCUUCAACCAUACACUGGACAGAGCUUACAUCAGAAUGAAUUCCUGAGAACGUGGUGAAUACCUAAACUGAACUCGGUGAAUUUUCCGAGUUUUAGUUGAUCCAGUUUAUGAACAAAAUUAUAGACCAAACCAAAGCUGGAGUUGGCAUGGCAAUCAGAGAUACAAUACCAAAGUUGAAAUUAAUGGGAAGCUACUUUCAGAUGCAACUGAGGCUUCAAUACUGACAGCAAUAAUUCGUGAUAUAGUGAUAUGGCCCAAAUGAUUUCCUACAAAUGUAAUGUAGAGGAAAUAAAUGAACAUAUGAAAAUCAAUUACAGAAAACUAAAUAAAAAUCAGUUGUAGACAUAUCUUAAGUUCACUCAGUG